Molecule: ribosomal RNA, 879 nt
Filed under: uncultured bacterium
Lineage: Bacteria
Description: bacterial SSU rRNA
Rfam family: Bacterial small subunit ribosomal RNA
Source: RNAcentral
AGAGUUUGAUCCUGGCUCAGGAUGAACGCUGGCGGCGUGCCUAACACAUGCAAGUCGAGCGAUUCUCUUCGGAGAAGAGCGGCGGACGGGUGAGUAACGCGUGGGUAACCUGCCUCAUACACAUGGAUAACAUACCGAAAGGUAUGCUAAUACAAGAUGAUAUAAGAGAUUCGCAUGGAUUUCUUAUCAAAGCUCCGGCGGUAUGAGAUGGACCCGCGUCUGAUUAGCUAGUUGGUAAGGUAACGGCUUACCAAGGCGACGAUCAGUAGCCGACCUGAGAGGGUGAUCGGCCACAUUGGAACUGAGACACGGUCCAAACUCCUACGGGAGGCAGCAGUGGGGAAUAUUGCACAAUGGGCGAAAGCCUGAUGCAGCAACGCCGCGUGAGCGAUGAAGGCCUUCGGGUCGUAAAGCUCUGUCCUCAAGGAAGAUAAUGACGGUACUUGAGGAGGAAGCCCCGGCUAACUACGUGCCAGCAGCCGCGGUAAUACGUAGGGGGCUAGCGUUAUCCGGAUUUACUGGGCGUAAAGGGUGCGUAGGUGGUUUCUUAAGUCAGGAGUGAAAGGCUACGGCUCAACCGUAGUAAGCUCUUGAAACUGGGAAACUUGAGUGCAGGAGAGGAAAGUGGAAUUCCUAGUGUAGCGGUGAAAUGCGUAGAUAUUAGGAGGAACACCAGUAGCGAAGGCGGCUUUCUGGACUGUAACUGACACUGAGGCACGAAAGCGUGGGGAGCAAACAGGAUUAGAUACCCUGAUAGUCCACGCCGUAAACGAUGAGUACUAGGUGUCGGGGGUUACCCCCCUCGGUGCCGCAGCUAACGCAUUAAGUACUCCGCCUGGGGAGUACGCUCGCAAGAGUGAAACUCAAAGGAAUUGACGG